GACGAACGCUGGCGGCGUGCUUAACACAUGCAAGUCGAGCGGUAAGGCCCUUUCGGGGGUACGACGAGCGGCGAACGGGUGAGUAACACGUGGGUGACCUGCCCUCAGCUCUGGGAUAAGCCUGGGAAACCGGGUCUAAUACCGGAUAUGACUCCAUGACGCAUGUUGUGGGGUGGAAAGCCUUGUGCGGCUGAGGAUGGGCCCGCGGCCUAUCAGCUUGUUGGUGGGGUGAUGGCCUACCAAGGCGACGACGGGUAGCCGGCCUGAGAGGGCGACCGGCCACACUGGGACUGAGACACGGCCCAGACUCCUACGGGAGGCAGCAGUGGGGAAUCUUGCGCAAUGGGCGAAAAGCCUGACGCAGCGACGCCGCGUGAGGGAUGACGGCCUGUGUACUAC
Molecule: ribosomal RNA, 399 nt
Filed under: uncultured bacterium
Lineage: Bacteria
Description: bacterial SSU rRNA
Rfam family: Bacterial small subunit ribosomal RNA
Source: RNAcentral